UAAGGAAUAUUGGUCAAUGGACGCAAGUCUGAACCAGCCAUGCCGCGUGAAGGAUGAAGGUCCUCUGGAUUGUAAACUUCUUUUAUCUGGGACGAAAACGGGAUUUUUAUCUCAAUUGACGGUACCAGAGGAAUAAGCACCGGCUAACUCCGUGCCAGCAGCCGCGGUAAUACGGAGGGUGCGAGCGUUAUCCGGAUUUACUGGGUUUAAAGGGUGCGUAGGUGGGCUUAUAAGUCAGUGGUGAAAUCUCCGAGCUUAACUUGGAAACUGCCGUUGAUACUGCAGGCCUAGAGUAUAGAUGACGUUGGCGGAAUAUGACAUGUAGUGGUGAAAUACUUAGAUAUGUCAUAGAACACCGAUUGCGAAGGCAGCUAACGAAACUAUAACUGACGCUGAGGCACGAAAGUGCGGGGAUCAAACA
RNAcentral lists this ribosomal RNA (421 nucleotides) under uncultured bacterium. RNAcentral's name for it is "bacterial SSU rRNA". It matches the Rfam family "Bacterial small subunit ribosomal RNA", at positions 355 to 774 of the family's 1533-position model. The record is from RNAcentral.